This 557-nucleotide ribosomal RNA is filed under the name uncultured earthworm cast bacterium. RNAcentral describes it as "bacterial SSU rRNA". It matches the Rfam family "Bacterial small subunit ribosomal RNA", at positions 45 to 588 of the family's 1533-position model. The record is from RNAcentral.
CGCUUAACACAUGCAAGUCGAACGAGAACCUUGCCUUCGGGCUUGGGGACAGUGGCGAACGGGUGAGUAACACGUGGGUAAUCUGCCCUUGACAUCGGGAUAGCCCGGGGAAACCCGGAUUAAUACCGAAUAGCCUCCGGAGCCUUCGGGCGCCGGAGAAAAGGUAGCUUCGGCCUCUGGUCAAGGAUGAGCCCGCGGCGGAUUAGCUUGUUGGCGGGGUAAUGGCCCACCAAGGCGACGAUCCGUAGCUGGUCUGAGAGGACGAUCAGCCACACUGGGACUGAGACACGGCCCAGACUCCUACGGGAGGCAGCAGUGGGGAAUCUUGCGCAAAUGCGGGAAACCGUGACGCAGCGACGCCGCGUGGGGGAAGAAGGCCUUCGGGUUGUAAACCUCUUUCAGGAGGGACGAAGCUACUCGGGUUAAUAGCCCAGAGGGUGACGGUACCUUCAGAAGAAGCCCCGGCUAACUACGUGCCAGCAGCCGCGGUAAUACGUAGGGGGCAAGCGUUGUCCGGAUUUAUUGGGCGUAAAGAGCGUGUAGGCGGCCUGACAAGU